RNAcentral lists this ribosomal RNA (473 nucleotides) under uncultured bacterium. RNAcentral describes it as "bacterial SSU rRNA". It matches the Rfam family "Bacterial small subunit ribosomal RNA", at positions 36 to 524 of the family's 1533-position model. The record is from RNAcentral.
CCUGGCGGCGUGCUUACACAUGCAGUCGAGCGGUAAGGCUCCUUCGGGAGUACACGAGCGGCGAACGGGUGAGUAACACGUGAGCAAUCUGCCCUUCACUUCGAGAUAACUCCGGGAAACCGGUGCUAAUACCGAAUACGACCACUUCAGGCAUCUGAUGGUGGUGGAAAGUUCCGGCGGUGAAGGAUGAGCUCGCGGCCUAUCAGCUUGUUGGUGAGGUAACGGCCCACCAAGGCAACGACGGGUAGCCGGCCUGAGAGGGUGACCGGCCACACUGGGACUGAGACACGGCCCAGACUCCUACGGGAGGCAGCAGUGGGGAAUAUUGGACAAUGGGCGAAAGCCUGAUCCAGCAACGCCGCGUGAGGGAUGACGGCCUUCGGGUUGUAAACCUCUUUCAGCGGGGACGAAGCGCAAGUGACGGUACCCGCAGAAGAAGCACCGGCCAACUACGUGCCGGCAGCCGCGGUAAU